RNAcentral lists this ribosomal RNA (254 nucleotides) under uncultured bacterium. RNAcentral describes it as "partial 16S ribosomal RNA". It matches the Rfam family "Bacterial small subunit ribosomal RNA", at positions 524 to 776 of the family's 1533-position model. The record is from RNAcentral.
UACAGAGGGUGCAAGCGUUGUUCGGAAUCAUUGGGCGUAAAGCGCACGUAGGCGGCUUUGCAAGUCGGGUGUGAAAGCCUGGGGCUCAACCCCAGAAGUGCAUUCGAAACUGCAGAGCUUGAGUGUCGGAGAGGGUGGUGGAAUUCCGAGUGUAGAGGUGAAAUUCGUAGAUAUUCGGGAGGAACACCAGUGGCGAAGGCGACCACCUGGACGAACACUGACGCUGAGGUGCGAAAGCGUGGGGAGCAAACAGG